AGUCGAGCGGCAGCGGAAAGUAGCUUGCUACUUUGCCGGCGAGCGGCGGACGGGUGAGUAAUGUCUGGGAAACUGCCUGAUGGAGGGGGAUAACUACUGGAAACGGUAGCUAAUACCGCAUGACCUCGAAAGAGCAAAGUGGGGGAUCUUCGGACCUCACGCCAUCGGAUGUGCCCAGAUGGGAUUAGCUAGUAGGUGAGGUAAUGGCUCACCUAGGCGACGAUCCCUAGCUGGUCUGAGAGGAUGACCAGCCACACUGGAACUGAGACACGGUCCAGACUCCUACGGGAGGCAGCAGUGGGGAAUAUUGCACAAUGGGCGCAAGCCUGAUGCAGCCAUGCCGCGUGUGUGAAGAAGGCCUUAGGGUUGUAAAGCACUUUCAGCGAGGAGGAAGGCAUCACACUUAAUACGUGUGGUGAUUGACGUUACUCGCAGAAGAAGCACCGGCUAACUCCGUGCCAGCAGCCGCGGUAAUACGGAGGGUGCAAGCGUUAAUCGGAAUUACUGGGCGUAAAGCGCACGCAGGCGGUUUGUUAAGUCAGAUGUGAAAUCCCCGCGCUUAACGUGGGAACUGCAUUUGAAACUGGCAAGCUAGAGUCUUGUAGAGGGGGGUAGAAUUCCAGGUGUAGCGGUGAAAUGCGUAGAGAUCUGGAGGAAUACCGGUGGCGAAGGCGGCCCCCUGGACAAAGACUGACGCUCAGGUGCGAAAGCGUGGGGAGCAAACAG
This 726-nucleotide ribosomal RNA is filed under the name uncultured bacterium. RNAcentral describes it as "bacterial SSU rRNA". It matches the Rfam family "Bacterial small subunit ribosomal RNA", at positions 60 to 775 of the family's 1533-position model. The record is from RNAcentral.